Molecule: ribosomal RNA, 460 nt
Filed under: uncultured bacterium
Lineage: Bacteria
Description: partial 16S ribosomal RNA
Rfam family: Bacterial small subunit ribosomal RNA
Source: RNAcentral
CCUACGGGAGGCUGCAGUGAGGAAUAUUGGUCAAUGGACGAGAGUCUGAACCAGCCAAGUAGCGUGAAGGAUGACUGCCCUAUGGGUUGUAAACUUCUUUUAUAUGGGAAUAAAAUGUUCCACGUGUGGGAUUUUGUAUGUACCAUAUGAAUAAGGAUCGGCUAACUCCGUGCCAGCAGCCGCGGUAAUACGGAGGAUCCGAGCGUUAUCCGGAUUUAUUGGGUUUAAAGGGAGCGUAGGUGGAUUGUUAAGUCAGUUGUGAAAGUUUGCGGCUCAACCGUAAAAUUGCAGUUGAAACUGGCAGUCUGGAGUACAGUAGAGGUGGGCGGAAGUCGUGGUGUAGCGGUGAAAUGCUUAGAUAUCACGAAGAACUCCGAUUGCGAAGGCAGCUCACUGGACUGCAACUGACACUGAGGCUCGAAAGUGUGGGUAUCAAACAGGAUUAGAUACCCCAGUAGUC